ACGCAGCCAGUGUGCACAGAGCGAACUAUUCUUUUGCCUUUUACUAAAGAAUCGUGUGCACGUUGCAUUUUUUUUAAAGAGCCUCUCCCCUUUGGGACUGGCCCUUCAGUUA
Molecule: small nuclear RNA, 112 nt
Organism: Arachis stenosperma
Lineage: Eukaryota; Viridiplantae; Streptophyta; Magnoliopsida; Fabales; Fabaceae
Product: U5 spliceosomal RNA
Exons: 1
Source: RefSeq, a predicted model, not a curated record